This 1890-nucleotide long non-coding RNA is filed under the name Mus musculus (house mouse). RNAcentral describes it as "long non-coding RNA chrX:42177346-42179236". Lineage: Eukaryota; Metazoa; Chordata; Mammalia; Rodentia; Muridae. The record is from RNAcentral.
UGAGUAGAUUAUCAUAUUUGGAAGGAUUUCAUAAAAUUUUAUUAGACAUUCUUAGGAAUAUUACAGAUAUAGUAGAUAUCCACAUGGAUAGAAAAAGUUACAUAUUGAAUUCACUUUAAGAUUACAGUUUUUACAGUUUUUAAAGAUUUGUGUGUUCUAGAUAAGUGCUUUCUUUGAGCUAUAUCCUUAGCUUGUGCUUACAGUUUUGAAAGACAGGUAUAAAGACAGGUAUUAGAGGCAUGCAUAUAUGCAUACAUGAGUACAGGGUAGGUGAAAUGAAAAUAAGUGAUUUAUUCAGGUUAUUGGAAUGCUCUAUGAUUUUGUGUGUGUGUGUGUGUGUGCAUGUGCGUGUGCAUUGGGUAUUCAACCCAGGGCACUGACCUCUACUCUCAGAUGGUUUAGAUUAUAUUUUCAAAAUUGAUAGUUUUAUAAUAAAUAAAGGGGAAUUAAGGUAUAUUAUUUCCAUGUAGUAUAUACUGAAAACUGUUAAGCACUAAAAUACUCAAAGGCUUGAUCUAGUUGAUAUUGUAUUGUGUGUUAUUUUUUAUACUUAGGGUGCAUUUUAAUAGUCUCAUGAACUGGCUUUUUUCUUUAUUCUUUAUUGCUAAAUCUUAGCACACAUUAUCAUUCCACUCAUUACAUUCCUAUGGUAACAUGAGAUUUUACUGUUAUUAUUGUUCUUAAAAAUUAUGACCUUAAUAAGUAGACUUAUCUAUUAUGUAUUUCUGUGUCAGUAUAUUUUGUAAAAUUUCAGUUUUUCAAGUAACUAAAGAUUGAUAUUUUCAGUUCUAGAUAAAUGCCACACUUAACUAUUUUGCAAGGAAGCAUCCAUUAUAUUCUUCUAUAUCCAUUUCUUCUUGUUUGUUUGUUUGUAGCCUGUCUUUGUCAACCAGCAAAACAUUCAUUACUGUCUUCCAAAUUCCUUCAUGUAUUUUGUUGAUUUAUUUUAUAGUGUUUGUGUUUUCUAUGUCAUUGCUUUCUUAAAACUUGCUAAAGCAUUGGUUUGAUUCCCUUCUCUAUUCAUCUGUGAGUACUAUUAGACAUAGCAUACAACAGUACACAAUUAAUUUACUUAGUCUAUCAUUUGUAUUCUGUUUGGACUUUUAUUUGAGACGUGGUCUAUUUAACCUUGAUUGGCCUCAUUGAACUUCCUAUGCAGACCAAUCUGCCUCUGUCUUGAAAAUGAUGGGAUUAAAUGUGUGUGUGCCAGUACACUCUACUUUGUUUUCUGAAUUUGGAAGAAAUUUAUUAAGAGAUUGCGUAGGUUCAUGUGCCGUGGUUUCUUUGUGGUUUGCAAAUUGACCUGAGGACUUUUCAGUGUCCAGUGGAGUUGGGAUUACUCGUGCAAGACGGAUGAGCUUUUCUUUGUCCAUGUGUGUGUAUGUCUGCAUCUGCCCCAGUUUCUUGUUUUGUCUUUUCUCUGUUUCUGUCUCAUUUAUUUCAAACUAACAUUUGGGAAGUGAUAUUGUAGGUGAAACUUGAAUUCCCUGUAAUGGAAUUCUUUGAAGUGUUUGCCUUUCUCUGGUUGUGUAUUUUAGAGAAUCCAGAAGAUGUAGCUUCUGAAUCAUGGUCCUCAUGUCUUUAAAAGAUAUUCAAAUGUUAGAGCAUGCUACUUCAAAAAAGGAACAACCAUAUUAUUAAUUGUAGAUACAUAAUGUUUCUAGCUUAUUUUAAAAAUUCAGUACAAAGAAGUAUAAAGUAAAAAAUUCCAUUUCCCCUUUACAAACUUUUAGAGGUAAUCACUCUGAUAGUUUGUAGAAGUGACUGGAUUUAUAAAUACAAAAGAUGUAGCACUAAAACGUGCUGAUAUUGUAAAAACCUAAGAUAUUAUUUUGGGAUUCAAACCCCAGUAACAUCCUUUCCCUUCCCUCCAAAACAGUAUCAUUAAGC